Nycticebus coucang (slow loris) is the source of this 111-nucleotide small nuclear RNA. The record is from RefSeq and is a predicted model, not a curated record. NCBI's taxonomy places the organism in Eukaryota, Metazoa, Chordata, Mammalia, Primates, Lorisidae.
GUGCGCACUUCAGUAGCACAUGUACUAAAAUUAAAAUGAUACAUAAAUGGUUAACAUGACCUCUGCUCAAGGAUGCAAUGCCUCUACAAAUAGGACAUUGUAUCCAUUUUA